Molecule: non-coding RNA, 23 nt
Filed under: Cricetulus griseus (Chinese hamster)
Lineage: Eukaryota; Metazoa; Chordata; Mammalia; Rodentia; Cricetidae
Source: RNAcentral
CUGGACAACAUGGCGCCGGUGAG